Molecule: long non-coding RNA, 773 nt
Filed under: Nicotiana benthamiana
Lineage: Eukaryota; Viridiplantae; Streptophyta; Magnoliopsida; Solanales; Solanaceae
Description: long non-coding RNA (NBEN_LNC030071)
Source: RNAcentral
GAGAACACAGGCUGAGCAAGGCCAUCGAAAAAUAGAAGGGAACAAAAAGAAGGCUAAAAAUUAGGGAUAGACAUAAAUAUAUAUUAGAGACUAGAGAGAAGAACGGUUUUAGGAGCUCAAAAAAAAAAAAAACCUAACAACCUCCUUCUUCUUCACUAUUUUUUUAAUACAAGAAUACUUCAUCUUCCUCACUUAGAUUCACCGUAAAAUCACUGUUCCCUCCUAAAAUUCAAUCAUAAAAAUUGGCUGAAUCACCAUCAAAAUACAGCCCAACAGGCCCGAAAACACCCCAAACCUCAUCUACAAUUAAACGCCCACAAAAAUCAAUAAAAAGCAACUUCCAAAAUUCCUCCUUAACAACCAUAAAUCACCGGAAAAUGCUAUUAAAACAGCCUUUCUCACAAAAAUAACAAUUUUAAAAUAGCUCCAGUGAUUAAGGAUUAGCCAUGGUCACUUUCGAGGUUGCCGUUGAGGUUGUGGCUGAUCAGUUCUGCUCGAUUUCAAGGCCCUUGUUUUAGUUUUUUGUUCUAUUCCAAUCGUUGUUGCCGGAUAUUCUUAUACUCGACAUCACGAGACGUUCUUAUAUUUAAAAUUUUCAGCCUCUAAAGGUCCAUUCUAAUAUUUGAGUUUCACUUGGCUGAUUUUAUUGAGGUUCUUAAUAUUUGAUUGGUGUUCAUAUUCACUAAGGUGUAAAAUUUUUACAGCAUAUUCAUGUUUUAGAAUUUUGGUUUCAUUUAGCUACAUAUUCUCUUACUCUUGAAUUUGCUUAUUUA